AAUGCGGAGGGAUCAUUA
This 18-nucleotide ribosomal RNA is filed under the name Fusarium sp. M86032. RNAcentral describes it as "partial 18S ribosomal RNA". Lineage: Eukaryota; Fungi; Ascomycota; Sordariomycetes; Hypocreales; Nectriaceae. The record is from RNAcentral.